This 253-nucleotide ribosomal RNA is filed under the name uncultured bacterium. RNAcentral describes it as "partial 16S ribosomal RNA". It matches the Rfam family "Bacterial small subunit ribosomal RNA", at positions 524 to 776 of the family's 1533-position model. The record is from RNAcentral.
UACGAAGGGGGCUAGCGUUGCUCGGAAUCACUGGGCGUAAAGCGCACGUAGGCGGAUUUCUAAGUCAGGGGUGAAAUCCUGGAGCUCAACUCCAGAACUGCCUUUGAUACUGGGAAUCUCGAGUCCGGGAGAGGUGAGUGGAACUGCGAGUUUAGAGGUGAAAUUCGUAGAUAUCAGGAAGAACACCAAUGGCGAAAGCAGCUUUCUGGGACGGUACUGACGCUGAGACGCGAAAGCGUGGGGAGCGAACAGG